GCCCGAGAGAGGACGCGUUGCAAAGCUGAAGGGGCUACGAUGACCCCAUCGAGACAGAGAUGGUUGAAGAGAGGAUACCUUACCUUCACGGUGGCUACGCAGCACCGCUGGCACAGCCGGAGAGAGGAAGCAUGGCGAGUAUUGACCGUCUGGGGAAGCGCUCCCCCUCCAUUGACAGCAUUCGUAAGGACCCCAGGUGGAGGGACCCUGACCUCCCUGAAGUGAUUGCCAUGCUCAGCCACCCUAUUGAUCCCGUCAAGUCUAACGCCGCAGCCUACCUGCAGCACUUGUGCUACGAGAAUGAUAAAAUCAAAAAGGACGUGAGGCACCUUAAAGGGAUACCUAUCUUGGUGGGCCUUCUUGACCACCCAAAGCCGGAGGUCCACCGUAAAGCCUGUGGGGCGCUCAGAAACAUCUCCUAUGGGAAGGAUAACGAAAACAAGGUGGCUAUAAAGAACUGUGAUGGGAUCCCCGCAUUGAUCAGACUAUUGCGAAAAACAAAUGACAUGGAAGUCAGAGAGCUAAUUACAGGUCAGUGUCUGUAGUUUCUUU
Molecule: non-coding RNA, 552 nt
Organism: Pelecanus crispus (Dalmatian pelican)
Lineage: Eukaryota; Metazoa; Chordata; Aves; Pelecaniformes; Pelecanidae
Source: RefSeq, a predicted model, not a curated record